CUGGCUCCAAGGCGAACAUGUCUGGGUCCUAAGACAGAGCACUCUUCUGUGGGCUGAAUCGUGAUCGGGAGGGCGUGAGAAAUGGGUUAAGUUUAGCAGAUUGACACGUGAAGCCAUAAUUAUGUAUUUAUCCCACAUUCCAAAGCUUAGGGAAGUGGCUGUGACCUAACUGUUCAAUUAAGAAAAUCAAAGAUGCAACGCCAGAAUGAAACCCAAUACCAUCACCAAUAAAGACACACAACACUUUUUGUGUUAAUUACAGGUUUUAUUAGGGGUCUUCCGACUUAACAAAGGAAAAAGGGGUUAGUGGUUUGGCUUACCCGCAGGCCGAACAGUGUUGGUGGGUCACCGCUGUCUAACGGUGACUGACAUGCUAUGGACUCCUGCACCUUGGACUCCCGGCCCCGCUGAGUGUCCAGCCAGGGAAGGGCAACAACGCAAGCUAAAGGCAACUUGUCAGGGACAGCCUGGACCUGCUGCUUCCUGUUCAGCACUCAACAAACCCCUUCUCCGGGACGGACCAGAGCGCUCCUGGCUCCCCAGACGCAGCAAUGCCAGCGGAUGGUCGGCUGUCGGCUGAGCAGGCCUCACUCCUUCUUUUGUUCUGUGUUACCUAAACCUAAUAAACCCAUUACCUUAAAGUUC
Long non-coding RNA from Eptesicus fuscus (big brown bat), 645 nucleotides. RefSeq lists it as uncharacterized. The record is from RefSeq and is a predicted model, not a curated record. NCBI's taxonomy places the organism in Eukaryota, Metazoa, Chordata, Mammalia, Chiroptera, Vespertilionidae. The transcript is spliced from 2 exons.